GUGGGGAAUCUUGCGCAAUGGGCGAAAGCCUGACGCAGCGACGCCGCGUGAGGGAAGAAGGCCUUCGGGUUGUAAACCUCUUUCAGGGGGGACGAAGCCACUCGGGUCAAUAGCCCAGAGGGUGCCGGUACCUCCAGAAGAAGCCCCGGCUAACUACGUGCCAGCAGCCGCGGUAAUACGUAGGGGGCUAGCGUUGUCCGGAUUUAUUGGGCGUAAAGAGCGUGUAGGCGGCCUGGAAGGUCCGUUGUGAAAACUCGAGGCUUAACCUCGAGACGUCGAUGGAAACCUCCAGGCUAGAGUCCGGAAGAGGAGAGUGGAAUUCCCGGUGUAGCGGUGAAAUGCGCAGAUAUCGGGAAGAACACCCGUGGCGAAGGCGGCUCUCUGGGACGGUACUGACGCUGAGACGCGAAAGCGUGGGGAGCGAACAGGAUUAGAAACCCUAGUAGUCC
Molecule: ribosomal RNA, 449 nt
Filed under: uncultured bacterium
Lineage: Bacteria
Description: bacterial SSU rRNA
Rfam family: Bacterial small subunit ribosomal RNA
Source: RNAcentral